RNAcentral lists this ribosomal RNA (271 nucleotides) under Vibrio parahaemolyticus. Its description in RNAcentral is "partial 23S ribosomal RNA". It matches the Rfam family "Bacterial large subunit ribosomal RNA", at positions 372 to 648 of the family's 2925-position model. The record is from RNAcentral. Lineage: Bacteria; Pseudomonadati; Pseudomonadota; Gammaproteobacteria; Vibrionales; Vibrionaceae.
CCCGUAGUUGACGACGUGUGUUCAGUGAAAUCGAGUAGGGCGGGACACGUGAUAUCCUGUCUGAAUAUGGGGGGACCAUCCUCCAAGGCUAAAUACUACUGACUGACCGAUAGUGAACCAGUACCGUGAGGGAAAGGCGAAAAGAACCCCUGUGAGGGGAGUGAAAUAGAACCUGAAACCGUGUACGUACAAGCAGUAGGAGCAGGCUUUGUCCUGUGACUGCGUACCUUUUGUAUAAUGGGUCAGCGACUUAUAUUCAGUGGCAAGGUUA